UCAAUAAGCGGAGGAAAAGAAACUAACAAGGAUUCCCCUAGUAACUGCGAGUGAAGCGGGAAGAGCUCAAAUUUAAAAUCUGGCGGUUCCGCCGCCCGAGUUGUAGUCUGGAGAAGUGUUAUCUGCGUCGGACCGUGUACAAGUCUCCUGGAAUGGAGCGUCAUAGAGGGUGAGAAUCCCGUCCAUGACACGGACCCCCGAUGCUUUGUGAGGCACUCUCAAAGAGUCGAGUUGUUUGGGAAUGCAGCUCAAAAUGGGUGGUAAAUUCCAUCUAAAGCUAAAUAUUGGCGAGAGACCGAUAGCGAACAAGUACCGUGAGGGAAAGAUGAAAAGCACUUUGGAAAGAGAGUUAAACAGUACGUGAAAUUGUUGAAAGGGAAACGCUUGAAGUCAGUCGCGUCCCGUGGAACUCAGCCUGGCCUCGGCUUGGUGUACUUUCCAUGAGACGGGUCAACAUCAAUUUCGGCCGGUGGAAAAGGGCGAAGGGAAUGUAGCGUUGUUUCGACGGCGUGUUAUAGCCUCUCGUCGUAUACGCUGGCUGGGAUUGAGGACUGCAGCACGCCCUUGUGGCCGGGGUUCGCCCACGUAACGUGCUUAGGAUGUUGGCAUAAUGGCUUUAAGCGACCCGUCUUGAAACACGGACCAAGGAGUCUAACAUGCUUGCGAGUGUUCGGGUGGAAAACCCUUGCGCGUAAUGAAAGUGAAAGUUGGGAACCUCCGCAAGGGGGCGCACCGACGCCCGGCCCUGACGUUCUCUGACGGUGCUGCGGUAGAGCAAGUAUGUUGGGACCCGAAAGAUGGUGAACUAUGCCUGAAUAGGGCGAAGCCAGAGGAAACUCUGGUGGAGGCUCGUAGCGAUUCUGACGUGCAAAUCGAUCGUCAAAUUUGGGUAUAGGGGCGAAAGACUAAUC
Molecule: ribosomal RNA, 911 nt
Filed under: Tropicoporus sp.
Lineage: Eukaryota; Fungi; Basidiomycota; Agaricomycetes; Hymenochaetales; Hymenochaetaceae
Description: partial large subunit ribosomal RNA
Rfam family: Eukaryotic large subunit ribosomal RNA
Source: RNAcentral